RNAcentral lists this ribosomal RNA (485 nucleotides) under uncultured bacterium. Its description in RNAcentral is "partial 16S ribosomal RNA". It matches the Rfam family "Bacterial small subunit ribosomal RNA", at positions 28 to 506 of the family's 1533-position model. The record is from RNAcentral.
GAUGAACGCUGGCGGCGUGCCUAAUACAUGCAAGUCGAACGCUGGAGAUCUAGCUUGCUAGAUCGAAGGAGUGGCGAACGGGUGAGUAAUACAUAAGCAACCUACCCACGAAGACUGGGAUGAUCUCUGGAAACGGGGACUAAUACCGGAUAGGUAAUCGGAAGGCAUCUUCUGGUUAUUAAAGGUUAAAAACACUGGUGGAUGGGCUUAUGGCGCAUUAGUUAGUUGGUGAGGUAACGGCCCACCAAGACGAUGAUGCGUAGCCGGCCUGAGAGGGUGAACGGCCGCAUUGGGACUGAGACACGGCCCCGACUCCUACGAGAGGCAGCAGUAGGGAAUUUUCGGCCAUGGGGGUAACCCUGACCGAGCGACGCCGCGUGAGUGAAGUCGGCCUUCGGGUUGUAAAGCUCUGUUGAAAGGGAAGAACGGUAGAUAGAGAAUAUCUAAGUGCCGGUACCUUACCAGAAAGCCACGGCUACCUACGU